GUCUACAGUCAUACCACCCUGAACGCGCCCAAUCUUGUCUGAUCUCGGAAGCUAAGCAGGGUUGGGCCUGGUUAGUACUGGAUGGGAGAAAAUAGCCAAUUUUUGAAACUUAUGCAAUGAAGAAU
Molecule: ribosomal RNA, 125 nt
Filed under: Cebus imitator (Panamanian white-faced capuchin)
Lineage: Eukaryota; Metazoa; Chordata; Mammalia; Primates; Cebidae
Source: RNAcentral